RNAcentral lists this ribosomal RNA (439 nucleotides) under uncultured bacterium. RNAcentral describes it as "bacterial SSU rRNA". It matches the Rfam family "Bacterial small subunit ribosomal RNA", at positions 29 to 507 of the family's 1533-position model. The record is from RNAcentral.
AGCGAACGCUGGCGGCAUGCUUAACACAUGCAAGUCGCACGGUUGGGGGCAACUCCGGCAGUGGCGGACGGGUGAGUAACGCGUAGGAAUCUAUCCUUGGGUGGGGGACAACCGUGGGAAACUACGGCUAAUACCGCAUGAUCCCUGAGGGGCAAAGGCGAAAGUCGCCUGAGGAGGAGCCUGCGUCUGAUUAGGUAGUUGGUGGGGUAAAGGCCUACCAAGCCUGCGAUCAGUAGCUGGUCUGAGAGGAUGAUCAGCCACACUGGGACUGAGACACGGCCCAGACCCCUACGGGAGGCAGCAGUGGGGAAUAUUGGACAAUGGGCGCAAGCCUGAUCCAGCAAUGCCGCGUGGAUGAAGAAGGUCUUCGGAUUGUAAAGUCCUUUUGGCAGGGACGAUGAUGACGGUACCUGCAGAAUAAGCUCCGGCUAACUUCGUG